RNAcentral lists this ribosomal RNA (459 nucleotides) under uncultured bacterium. RNAcentral describes it as "partial 16S ribosomal RNA". It matches the Rfam family "Bacterial small subunit ribosomal RNA", at positions 338 to 795 of the family's 1533-position model. The record is from RNAcentral.
CCUACGGGAGGCAGCAGUGAGGAAUAUUGGUCAAUGGCCGCAGGGCUGAACCAGCCAAGUCGCGUGAGGGAUGACGGUCCUAUGGAUUGUAAACCUCUUUUGUCAGGGAGCAAAGGGCGCCACGUGUGGCGCUUUGCGAGUACCUGAAGACAAAGCAUCGGCUAACUCCGUGCCAGCAGCCGCGGUAAUACGGAGGAUGCGAGCGUUAUCCGGAUUUAUUGGGGUUAAAGGGUGCGCAGGCGGAAUGUCAAGUCAGCGGUAAAAUUUCGGGGCUCAACCCCGUCGUGCCGUUGAAACUGGCGUUCUUGAGUGAGCGAGAAGUAUGCGGAAUGCGUGGUGUAGCGGUGAAAUGCAUAGAUAUCACGCAGAACUCCGAUUGCGAAGGCAGCAUACCGGCGCUCAACUGACGCUCAUGCACGAAAGCGUGGGUAUCGAACAGGAUUAGAUACCCCGGUAGUC